This 495-nucleotide ribosomal RNA is filed under the name uncultured Glomeromycotina. RNAcentral's name for it is "partial small subunit ribosomal RNA". It matches the Rfam family "Eukaryotic small subunit ribosomal RNA", at positions 591 to 1092 of the family's 1831-position model. Lineage: Eukaryota; Fungi; Glomeromycota. The record is from RNAcentral.
CCAAUAGCGUAUAUUAAAGUUGUUGCAGUUAAAAAGCUCGUAGUUGAAUUUUGGGUUUGGCCGAUUGGUCCGUUCUUGUAACGAGUACUGGUCGGUUGGGCCUCACCGCCUGGUGAUGCGUAAUGUCCUUUAUUGAUGUUGCGAGUAGCCAGGACUUUUACCUUGAAAAAAUUAGAGUGUUUAAAGCAGGCUUAUGCCGGAAUACAUUAGCAUGGAAUAAUAGAAUAGGACGAUGAUUCUAUUUUGUUGGUUUCUAGGACCAUCGUAAUGAUUAAUAGGGAUAGUUGGGGGCAUUAGUAUUCAAUUGUCAGAGGUGAAAUUCUUGGAUUUAUUGAAGACUAACUACUGCGAAAGCAUUUGCCAAGGAUGUUUUCAUUAAUCAAGAACGAAAGUUAGGGGAUCGAAGACGAUCAGAUACCGUCGUAGUCUUAACCAUAAACUAUGCCGACUAGGGAUCGGGCGAUGUUGUUUCAAUGACUCGCUCGGCACCUUAUG